GAAUGAAGAACGUAGCGAAAUGCGAUAAGUAAUGUGAAUUGCAGAAUUCAGUGAAUCAUCGAAUCUUUGAACGCACAUUGCGCCCCUUGGUAUUCCGAGGGGCAUGCCUGUUCGAGCGUCAUUAUAACCCUCAAGCUCAGCUUGGUGUUGGGGCCUGCUGCACUGGCAGCCCUUAAAAUCAGUGGCGGCGCCAUCUGGCUCUAAGCGUAGUAAUUCUUCUCGCUAUGGAGUCCUGGUGGAUGCUUGCCAUCAACCCCCAAUUUUUCUAUGGUUGACCUCGGAUCAGGUAGGGAUACCCGCUGAACUUAAGCAUAUCAAUAAGCGGAGGA
This 329-nucleotide unclassified non-coding RNA is filed under the name soil metagenome. RNAcentral describes it as "partial contains 5.8S ribosomal RNA, internal transcribed spacer 2, and large subunit ribosomal RNA". The stretch from base 3 to 121 matches the Rfam family "5.8S ribosomal RNA", at positions 36 to 154 of the family's 154-position model. The record is from RNAcentral.